CUAAAUUGCCUUUAAUAUUGUCUUCAAGUAAGAACAAAAAUAUUAUCUCCUUGGUGCUGUGCUGUCUACCCAUUUUUCUCCCUUUGGUGAGUGAUCAAUGUUGCUUUUCUCUUUUUCUCUGUUACUUGGCUUUCCUCUGGUCAAAGUUCUUCCUGUAACUGCUAAUCUAGGGGGAAAAAAGACUAAGGCACUUAGCUCUUCCAGCUGUAAUUUGCAAUUUCUUUUCCUUCCAGUCUAGGAAACUGAGGCCGAAUAUUUGGUUUUAAUUUAAACAAAUCAGGGAUGGAUUUGAAGGCCCAAGUUUGGGACACUGUGUUGCGUUGGGUGUUAACGCAACAUCGUCUCAUCUACAAAAUGGAGAGAAUCUCUGAGCUGGUGGGACUGUUGUGAGCGCUCCAAUAUGCGUCAUCCAAGGGCCACUGUUAGGAUUUUUACCAACUCAUCUCAGAACAUAUCUUAGAUGAUGAUAAUAAUAAUAAUAAUAAUAAUAAUAAUAAUAAUAAUAACAAUGUAGCAAUAAUAAGGGAAGCGAACAUUUGAUGAGCUCCUUUCUGCUAGGCUCCGUGGUAAGUGCUUUACGUGGUUUAUCUCAUUUAAUCCUCAUAAAAUCCUUACAAAGACCAGAAUUUCCCCUGCUUUCCAGAUGAGCAAAGCUCAGCUGAGAGAUCUGGUGACCGGCCCAAGGUAAGAGACCUAGGAAGUGGGAAUUUGGAAUGCGAACUCAGGCUGCCUGGUUGUAAAGCCCACAGUCCUAAGUGUGCGCAACACUGUUCACGAUCGGGAUUCCUCUAUUCCACAGUCACGUGUUGGACCCUCGGCUGGGAGAGAACAGUGAACAAGCCACGGGGUGUCCCUUCCCUCAUGUUACCUAAGAAUUGCCCUUCCACGUCCGCUUGGGACCUGGAGAGGAACUUGGGACAUGCCUAUUCCAGAGUGAAACGCUGCCGCUCACUUGCUCUGUUGUUUUCUUCUGUUCCCUUCCACUUGCUGAGCUUCAAAAUUUCCAUGUUUAAACAAUGGAGGGAUUCAGGUAGAGGACUGAUCGGGAGGAAAGGCCCUUCUGCACUGAUCUUUCAUAGUGUUUCCAGUAUUCAGCUGCCUGGAGUUACUGAAUAACCAGCAACGGCCCCUGAAAAUCAGAUGUGUGAGCCCAAAGAGAGCAUUAGUCUUUUCUAUCUCAGACCAUCGCUGGGGCUGCGCAUACCAGCAGUGGUCCCAAUAGAAGGGAAUUUGACUUCCCUGUUUUUCAGUUGGAACUUGGAUCACUGUUUGGCUUUGCUCCCAGUGGCCCCAUCAGCUCACCAUGGGAGGCACUUUACAGUUUCUCUGCACUUUUGCAGCAAGCUCUCUGAGCCUUUCACGGCAACUUCGGGCGAGGGAUUAUUGAGUUCAUUUUAUAGAAAAGGAAACGGACUUUGUCAGGGAAAAGUGAUUUGCCCAAGGACGCAGAGCUUAUGUGGGGCCGAAGUCAGGGCUGAAACCACUUCUGAUCUCUCUAUUCUAACAGAGUGCUUUCUUCCUCCUCUUCUUUAAAUUUAUUUUAUUUCUAAAUAUACAAAUUAUCUAUUUUUAGACUAUAUAAAUAAUGGGCUAUCCAAAUAAUGUAUUUAUGCAAUCCAUCUCUGUUAUAAAAAGUUCUAAUAAUAUAGAUACAGCGAAAUAUCCUUGACUCUAACUGAAUCCCACGCCCCUCCCAAGAAUUGCCCUUAUCACCUGCCUUAUAUAAUUCAAGAACGUGUUCUGCAUAUUUACAUAUGUACAAAUAUACAUCUAAACACAUAUGUUUGCUUUGGUUCUUAUAUAUAAAUGAGGCUGUAUAUAAUAAUCUGCAACUUGCCUUUUUCAACAGUACGCCUUAUACAUCAUUUCACAUCAACACGUGAUUCUUCAUUCUUUUUAGUUGUGUGUGCAUUUCACAGGAUAGACGUUGUGUAGUUUGCAGUGUUAUUUCUUUUAUGUUCUAGCAGCAUCCCACGUCUGAGUGGGGCGUUUGAAGCCUGCAGCAGAAAAUCAGCAGCCUCCGUUUUUCUGGCACUGUGCUAACCAUUUGAGGGUCAGCUGGAGUGGUUCCAAGCUUAGGCGGCAGCAGCCACUGUGACUUGGCGGCUUCCCUGUGGGGAAGGCCAGCCCUUGCAUGGGCCUCACCUGGCCCCCUCCCUCCCUUUGAGGGACCGAGACUCUGCUCAAGUUGCACAAGCUGUGGGGUCAGAUUGAUGACAUCCUGCUUCCACCACACCCCUUCUGAGAUGUGUGUUUCUGAGCAGGAUCUUUAACCUGCUAAGCCCUAAUUUCCCCAACAGUAAAGCAGGGGACGUAGUGAUCAGACACUUUACAGUGUUCGCAUGAGGAUGUACGGAAAGCACUUGGUAAACGCUUUCAAAAAUUCUUUAUUUCCUCUUAAAGGUCUCACCAGUUCUCUCUGCUUCCUAGCAUCCUGGGAUAUGGUCUAAGGAACAUAAAAGUUAUGGAAAGAUUAGUUAAAAAACAAACAAAAAUAGAGGGAAUUACAGUGGAAGCAAUACUACCUCCACUCGCGUCACAUUUUCCAGUUUACUGAAGGCUGUCAUUGGACCGUCACAACUGCCCUGGGGGGUGGAUAUAUUAUUUGUUGUUACCAUUUUAUAGAUGAAGAACCUGAGGCUCCAGAAUAGAGGCGGCGACCACCUCCAGGUCACUCAGCAGUCGUCUGAGGGAGUCAGAUCUGAAGCCAGGUCUUCUGAUUCCAAAUAUGAAGACCCCGUAAGAACUGUGGUGCCAGCUGUUGUUCAGAGAUUGUUAGGACUCAUACACCUGACAGCACCAUGAGAGAGACAUGAGUCUCUCUCCAACAGUGACAUUAAUUCAGUAAUCCAUCAAGGAAACGUUUCUUAAGUCCUUUUCAAGAUGUGCCAGACACUGCGCCACAGGCCAGGGACACAUAAUUGAGUGGACAAACAGGACAAUUCAAUUCUCUAUGGCAAGCGUGGGCCAACUGCGGCCUGGUGGCCAGAUCCUCCAGCCUGUAAAGUAAGAAUGGUUUUUGUUUUUUUAAGCGGUUGGGAAAUAAAAAAUAUUUUGUGACAUGUGAAAUUCAAAUUUAUGCCUAUACAUAAAGUUUUAUUGUAACAUGGCCCCACCGAUUCACUGACGCGUCUUCUAUGGCUCUUUCACACUCCAACGGCAGGGUUGAGUAGUUGUCAUAGUUGAG
This 3187-nucleotide long non-coding RNA is filed under the name Equus asinus (donkey). RNAcentral describes it as "lncRNA (ENSEASG00005033393.1)". Lineage: Eukaryota; Metazoa; Chordata; Mammalia; Perissodactyla; Equidae. The record is from RNAcentral.